UCGUAACAAGGUUUCCGUAGGUGAACCUGCGGAAGGAUCAUUACCGAGUGUAGGGUUCCUAGCGAGCCCAACCUCCCACCCGUGUUUACUGUACUUAGUUGCUUCGGCGGGCCCGCCAUUCAUGGCCGCCGGGGGCUCUCAGCCCCGGGCCCGCGCCCGCCGGAGACACCACGAACUCUGUCUGAUCUAGUGAAGUCUGAGUUGAUUGUAUCGCAAUCAGUUAAAACUUUCAACAAUGGAUCUCUUGGUUCCGGCAUCGAUGAAGAACGCAGCGAAAUGCGAUAACUAGUGUGAAUUGCAGAAUUCCGUGAAUCAUCGAGUCUUUGAACGCACAUUGCGCCCCCUGGUAUUCCGGGGGGCAUGCCUGUCCGAGCGUCAUUGCUGCCCAUCAAGCACGGCUUGUGUGUUGGGUCGUCGUCCCCUCUCCGGGGGGGACGGGCCCCAAAGGCAGCGGCGGCACCGCGUCCGAUCCUCGAGCGUAUGGGGCUUUGUCACCCGCUCUGUAGGCCCGGCCGGCGCUUGCCGAACGCAAAUCAAUCUUUUUCCAGGUUGACCUCGGAUCAGGUAGGGAUACCCGCUGAACUUAAGCAUAUCAAUAAGCGGAGGAAAAGAAACCAACCGGGAUUGCCUCAGUAACGGCGAGUGAAGCGGCAAGAGCUCAAAUUUGAAAGCUGGCUCCUUCGGGGUCCGCAUUGUAAUUUGCAGAGGAUGCUUCGGGUGCGGCCCCUGUCUAAGUGCCCUGGAACGGGCCGUCAGAGAGGGUGAGAAUCCCGUCUGGGAUGGGGUGUCCGCGCCCGUGUGAAGCUCCUUCGACGAGUCGAGUUGUUUGGGAAUGCAGCUCUAAAUGGGUGGUAAAUUUCAUCUAAAGCUAAAUACUGGCCGGAGACCGAUAGCGCACAAGUAGAGUGAUCGAAAGAUGAAAAGCACUUUGAAAAGAGAGUUAAAAAGCACGUGAAAUUGUUGAAAGGGAAGCGCUUGCGACCAGACUCGCCUCCAGGGUUCAGCCGGCAUUCGUGCCGGUGUACUUCCCUGGGGGCGGGCCAGCGUCGGUUUGGGCGGCCGGUCAAAGGCUCCCGGAAUGUAGUGCCCUCCGGGGCACCUUAUAGCCGGGAGUGCAAUGCGGCCAGCCUGGACCGAGGAACGCGCUUCGGCACGGACGCUGGCAUAAUGGUCGUAAACGACCCG
RNAcentral lists this ribosomal RNA (1185 nucleotides) under Aspergillus oryzae. RNAcentral's name for it is "eukaryotic LSU rRNA". The stretch from base 551 to 1185 matches the Rfam family "Eukaryotic large subunit ribosomal RNA", at positions 1 to 651 of the family's 3401-position model. Lineage: Eukaryota; Fungi; Ascomycota; Eurotiomycetes; Eurotiales; Aspergillaceae. The record is from RNAcentral.